UACAGAGGUGGCAAGCGUUGUUCGGAAUUACUGGGCGUAAAGGGCGCGUAGGCGGUCUUGCAAGUCCUGUGUGAAAUCCCUCGGCUCAACUGAGGAACUGCACAGGAAACUGCUUGGCUUGAGUUCGGGAGAGGGAAGCGGAAUUCCGGGUGUAGCGGUGAAAUGCGUAGAGAUCGGGAAGAACACCCGUGGCGAAGGCGGUGUGCUGGGUUGCACCUGACGCUGAGAUGCGAAAGUGUGGGGAGCAAACGGGG
Molecule: ribosomal RNA, 254 nt
Filed under: uncultured bacterium
Lineage: Bacteria
Description: partial 16S ribosomal RNA
Rfam family: Bacterial small subunit ribosomal RNA
Source: RNAcentral